This 492-nucleotide ribosomal RNA is filed under the name uncultured bacterium. Its description in RNAcentral is "partial 16S ribosomal RNA". It matches the Rfam family "Bacterial small subunit ribosomal RNA", at positions 29 to 507 of the family's 1533-position model. The record is from RNAcentral.
AGUGAACGCUGGCGGUAGGCCUAACACAUGCAAGUCGAACGGCAGCACAGUAAGAGCUUGCUCUUACGGGUGGCGAGUGGCGGACGGGUGAGGAAUACAUCGGAAUCUACUUUUUCGUGGGGGAUAACGUAGGGAAACUUACGCUAAUACCGCAUACGACCUACGGGUGAAAGCAGGGGAUCUCCGGACCUUGCGCGAUUGAAUGAGCCGAUGUCGGAUUAGCUAGUUGGCGGGGUAAAGGCCCACCAAGGCGACGAUCCGUAGCUGGUCUGAGAGGAUGAUCAGCCACACUGGAACUGAGACACGGUCCAGACUCCUACGGGAGGCAGCAGUGGGGAAUAUUGGACAAUGGGCUCAAGCCUGAUCCAGCCAUACCGCGUGGGUGAAGAAGGCCUUCGGGUUGUAAAGCCCUUUUGUUGGGAAAGAAAAGCAGCAGGUUAAUACCCCGCUGUUCUGACGGUACCCAAAGAAUAAGCACCGGCUAACUUCGUG